RNAcentral lists this ribosomal RNA (468 nucleotides) under uncultured bacterium. RNAcentral describes it as "partial 16S ribosomal RNA". It matches the Rfam family "Bacterial small subunit ribosomal RNA", at positions 28 to 507 of the family's 1533-position model. The record is from RNAcentral.
GACGAACGCUGGCGGCGUGCUUAACACAUGCAAGUCGAACGGAAAGGCCCUGAUUUUGUGGGGUGCUCGAGUGGCGAACGGGUGAGUAACACGUGAGUAACCUGCCCUUGACUUUGGGAUAACUUCAGGAAACUGGGGCUAAUACCGGAUAGGAGCUCCUGAUGCAUGGUGGGGGUUGGAAAGUUUCGGCGGUUGGGGUUGGGCUCGCGGCUUAUCAGCUUGUUGGUGGGGUAGUGGCUUACCAACGCUUUGGCGGGUAGCCGGCCUGAGAGGGUGACCGGCCACAUUGGGUCUGAGUUACGGCCCAGACUCCUACGGUCGGCAGCAGUGAGGAAUAUUGCACAAUGGGCGGAAGCCUGAUGCAGCAACGCCGCGCGCGUGAGUACGGCAUUCUGGUUUUAAUCCGCUUUCGCCUGUGGCGAAGCGUGAGUGACGGUAAUGGGUAAAGAAGCACCGGCUAACUACGUG